RNAcentral lists this transfer RNA (74 nucleotides) under Leptolyngbya sp. 'hensonii'. It matches the Rfam family "tRNA". Rfam says of the family: Transfer RNA (tRNA) molecules are approximately 80 nucleotides in length. Their secondary structure includes four short double-helical elements and three loops (D, anti-codon, and T loops). Further hydrogen bonds mediate the characteristic L-shaped molecular structure. tRNAs have two regions of fundamental functional importance: the anti-codon, which is responsible for specific mRNA codon recognition, and the 3' end, to which the tRNAs corresponding amino acid is attached (by aminoacyl-tRNA synthetases). tRNAs cope with the degeneracy of the genetic code in two manners: having more than one tRNA (with a specific anti-codon) for a particular amino acid; and 'wobble' base-pairing, i.e. permitting non-standard base-pairing at the 3rd anti-codon position. Lineage: Bacteria; Bacillati; Cyanobacteriota; Cyanophyceae; Leptolyngbyales; Leptolyngbyaceae. The record is from Rfam by way of RNAcentral.
ACUCCUGUAGCCCAAUGGAAGAGGCGGCUGUCUCAAAACCAGUCAACGUGCGGGUUCAAAUCCCGCCAGGAGUA